UACAUGGGGUGCAAACGUUGCUCGGAAUUAUUGGGCGUAAAGCGCACGUAGGCGGUUUGUUAAGUCGGAUGUGAAAUCCCUCGGCUCAACUGAGGAAGUGCACCCGAAACUGGCAAGCUUGAGUACGAAAGAGGGUCGCGGAAUUCCCGGUGUAGAGGUGAAAUUCGUAGAUAUCGGGAGGAACACCGGUGGCGAAGGCGGGUCUCUGGGCCGAUACUGACGCUGAGGAGCGAAAGCAUGGGUAGCGAACAGG
Molecule: ribosomal RNA, 253 nt
Filed under: uncultured bacterium
Lineage: Bacteria
Description: partial 16S ribosomal RNA
Rfam family: Bacterial small subunit ribosomal RNA
Source: RNAcentral